RNAcentral lists this transfer RNA (41 nucleotides) under Balaenoptera ricei (Rice's whale). Its description in RNAcentral is "partial tRNA-Phe". The record is from RNAcentral. Lineage: Eukaryota; Metazoa; Chordata; Mammalia; Artiodactyla; Balaenopteridae.
GUUAAUGUAGCUUAAACAACUACAAAGCAAGACACUGAAAA